ACGGUUGACCUCGGAUCAGGUAGGAAUACCCGCUGAACUUAAGCAUAUCAAUAAGCGGAGGAA
Molecule: ribosomal RNA, 63 nt
Filed under: Verticillium dahliae
Lineage: Eukaryota; Fungi; Ascomycota; Sordariomycetes; Glomerellales; Plectosphaerellaceae
Also listed under: 1 other name
Description: partial 28S ribosomal RNA
Rfam family: Eukaryotic large subunit ribosomal RNA
Source: RNAcentral